AUAUUGGGCAAUGGGCGCAAGCCUGACCCAGCAAUGCCGCGUGGGUGAAGAAGGUCCUCGGAUUGUAAAGCCCUUUCGGCGGGGACGAUAAUGACGGUACCCGCAGAAGAAGCCCCGGCCAACUUCGUGCCAGCAGCCGCGGUAAUACGAAGGGGGCUAGCGUUGCUCGGAAUUACUGGGCGUAAAGGGCGCGUAGGCGGCCCUGCUUGUCCGGCGUGAAAUCCCAGGGCUCAACCUUGGGGCUGCGCUGGAGACGGCGGGGCUAGAGGCAAGGAGAGGCUCGCGGAAUUCCCAGUGUAGAGGUGAAAUUCGUAGAUAUUGGGAAGAACACCGGUGGCGAAGGCGGCGAGCUGGCCUUGAUCUGACGCUGAGGCGCGACAGCGUGGGGAGCAAACAGG
RNAcentral lists this ribosomal RNA (398 nucleotides) under uncultured bacterium. RNAcentral describes it as "bacterial SSU rRNA". It matches the Rfam family "Bacterial small subunit ribosomal RNA", at positions 361 to 776 of the family's 1533-position model. The record is from RNAcentral.